GCCGAGAAGUUCAUCGAGAUGUUUUACAAGGAGUUGAGGUUGCAGAAGCGGAUGGCUGGUCACGACCAAGCAGCAGUUUAGUAUGGAUGACAUGGCACGUGUGGGGCCACUUGUCAGAGAUGUCUAGUUUUGGGCUUAUUUCAGGUGUUAGGGUGAUCAAUGCCAUGAAUUAUCCGUUGAUUACAAAGAGAAGUUAUGAAAGAUGCAGCCAAAUUUGCUGAUUGUAUAUGUGGGAUGAGCUUUUGUCCCUCUUUUUCUUCUUGCUUGUUUGUGCUUUGCAUAAUGUGUAGCCUUUCUUCAUGUGUAUAUUCAUCCUCCAAGCAGCUUUCUUAACUUGUUUCAUUGUAAAUCUUUAAUAACCUUCGGUAUUAAUGUCAUCUUUCUAAUUAUAUAGAUCUAUCCCUCAUCAUAAUCAUCAUACUUAUACAAACAUUCUUUGAAUCUUCAAACGUGUUUAUUAAAAGAUUGAAUGCUAACCAAGUUUUCAGUACAUCAUACUGAAAACUUGGUUAGCAUAAUGUGUAGCCUUUCUUCAUGUGUAUAUUCAUCCUCCAAGCAGCUUUCUUAACUUGUUUCAUUGUAAAUCUUUAAUAACCUUCGGUAUUAAUGUCAUCUUUCUAAUUAUAUAGAUCUAUCCCUCAUCAUAAUCAUCAUACUUAUACAAACAUUCUUUGAAUCUUCAAACGUGUUUAUUAAAAGAUUGAAUGCUAACCAAGUUUUCAGUACAUCUCUUGUUGUGUAUCACUUUCCAUAUAUACAUGAUGCCUACAUGAGUUUCCAGGAAUAGAUCUAGUGUUUGUCUUGCUUUUAGGUAAGUUUCUAAGCACAUCCCUUUUCUUAUCAAAAUUCA
This 850-nucleotide long non-coding RNA is filed under the name Populus tremula. Its description in RNAcentral is "long non-coding RNA (PTRE_LNC001555)". The record is from RNAcentral. Lineage: Eukaryota; Viridiplantae; Streptophyta; Magnoliopsida; Malpighiales; Salicaceae.